RNAcentral lists this unclassified non-coding RNA (240 nucleotides) under soil metagenome. RNAcentral's name for it is "partial contains 5.8S ribosomal RNA, internal transcribed spacer 2, and large subunit ribosomal RNA". The record is from RNAcentral.
AACGCACGAGACCUGCGGACCUGCGGAGGGAUCAUUAAUCUAUUCUCUCGGGGGGCCGGCCUGGACUGCAGACAUUCCUCGUGGAUGACUGUUUUCCUGCCUGCCCUGUCUGAUUAUACCCUUGAACUUUUGCGUACCAAUUGUUUCCUCGGCGGGCUUGCCCGCCAGCAGGACACCCUAAAACCUUUUGCAAUUGCAGUCAGCGUCAGAAAAAUAUAAUAGUUACAACUUUCAGCAAUG